RNAcentral lists this ribosomal RNA (497 nucleotides) under uncultured bacterium. RNAcentral describes it as "partial 16S ribosomal RNA". It matches the Rfam family "Bacterial small subunit ribosomal RNA", at positions 28 to 507 of the family's 1533-position model. The record is from RNAcentral.
GACGAACGCUGGCGGCAUGCCUAAUACAUGCAAGUCGAACGCUGAAGCACUCUGCUUGCAGCGUGCGGUUGAGUGGCGAACGGGUGAGUAACACGUGGGAAAUCUGCCUAUAAGAGGGGGAUAACAUUCGGAAACGGAUGCUAAUACCGCAUAUAUUCUUGGACCGCCUGGUCCUUGAAUUAAAUACGGCUUUGCUGUCUCUUAUAGAUGAUCCCGCGGCGUAUUAGUUAGUUGGUGGGGUAAAGGCAUACCAAGACAAUGAUACGUAGCCGACGUGAGAGGGUGAUCGGACACACUGGGACUGAGACACGGCCCAGACUCCUACGGGAGGCAGCAGUAGGGAAUAUUACACAAUGGGCGAAAGCAUGAUGGAGCAAUGUCGCGUGAAUGAAGAAGGUCUUCGGAUCGUAAAGUUCUGUUAUUAGAGAAGAACAAGUAAAGGAGUAACUGUCUUGACUUUGACGGUACCUAAACAGAAAGUCACGGCUAACUACGUG